GGAGCUUCUACAAUCUAUAGUCUCACUUUUGCCAUCUGAAAAAGCUGCUUUUCCGAUCAAUUUCCUCUGUUGCCUUCUCCGAUCGGCUAUUUUCCUCAACGCCUCAAGUUCCUGCAAAAACGAGUUAGAGAAACGGAUCUCUGCAAUACUAGAGCAUGUGACUGUUGAUGAUCUUCUGGUUUUGUCUUUCACUUACGAUGGUGAGAGACUGUUUGAUUUAGACAGUGUGAGGAGGAUUAUAUCUGGAUUUGUGGAGAAGGAGAAGACCAUGGCUGUGUUUAGCAG
This 285-nucleotide long non-coding RNA is filed under the name Jatropha curcas. Its description in RNAcentral is "long non-coding RNA (JCUR_LNC000230)". The record is from RNAcentral. Lineage: Eukaryota; Viridiplantae; Streptophyta; Magnoliopsida; Malpighiales; Euphorbiaceae.